Felis catus (domestic cat) is the source of this 85-nucleotide transfer RNA. It matches the Rfam family "tRNA". From Rfam's summary of the family: Transfer RNA (tRNA) molecules are approximately 80 nucleotides in length. Their secondary structure includes four short double-helical elements and three loops (D, anti-codon, and T loops). NCBI's taxonomy places the organism in Eukaryota, Metazoa, Chordata, Mammalia, Carnivora, Felidae. The record is from Rfam.
GCCUGGGUGGCUCAGUUGGUUGAGCAUCUGACUUCGGCUCAGGUCAUGAUCUCGUACUCUGUGAGUUCAAGCCCCACGUCGGGCU